Long non-coding RNA from Centrocercus urophasianus (Greater sage-grouse), 4739 nucleotides. RefSeq lists it as uncharacterized. The record is from RefSeq and is a predicted model, not a curated record. Lineage: Eukaryota; Metazoa; Chordata; Aves; Galliformes; Phasianidae. The transcript is spliced from 2 exons.
AUGUCUGAGGCAGAUGUUCGUGGCACGGCAGUAGAGGUAGAACUUUCCCACUGACAUCCCAUCAUACUUUCCUGCUGUGACGCAGAAUGGUGUCUGACAUGGAAACGCAUAUGAAACAAAGUCCAUUUGGGUCCAGAUUCUUUUUGCGAGGAGAGGCAAAAACAUAUUUCCUAAAAAGCCAAGGACUCUGUAAUCUAAGAAGAUUUUCAGAGGAGACAGAUAUCCUGAAUAUCUGCAUAUUUGCAGCUGAAAGAACAAGGGAGUACUUAAGGAGAAGAAGGCAAGGAAAACAGACCUUCAUCUAAAUCUGACUGAAUCUUUCAACUUUGAGAAGUUUGUGUUGAAUUUGGCUGGGGACUGCUUCCCAGGAUCAUCACCAAGAAAUACAAUAUUGUCAGUAUUAACAACCAAAGUACCAGUCUCGUGACACCUAACUAAGUUUUUGUCCCUGUCCCUUUGUCAAAAUUUUGACUUUCAAGAAGCAAUAAAAUGAACUUGUAGACUUUGGGACUGACAGGUGAGAACAUGCUCUUCAAAGGCAAGUGGAGCGGUGAGACCUAAAGGGACUCAACUGUGGAAAAAUAAAUAAAUAAGUAAAUUAAUACAUUACUCUGAUUGUAGCUGGCACUUCUGUGGUUCUAUUCUGCUCACGUUUCUGGGUGAGUAAUCUUCAUUUCCUGCUUAUGUGUUGCCAAAUGAAAUAAAUGUUAACCUUCAAGAUAAAACAAGAACCCACAUACUGGACUUUGUACCUCUGACAGAUACUUCUGAUAUGGAAAUAUCUGUCCCAGAGGGGCAGCAGCUCUAUCAGUAUCAAAAAUGGUGAGGUUCAGUGUCUAGCCUGCUGAGGAGUGCAGCUCAUGGAGAGUUCCUCUGGAGUUUCCUGGUGCACUUGGAAAUCAUACCAUAACACCAUACACCAGUAUGGUUAAGAUGCGGAAUGACUCAUUUGUUGUUUAGAUCAGUGUAUUUUUAUACAUGCUAGUAUUAGCAGUGCUUGUAAUUGUGUUUCCAUGGUUACAUUCACAAAAAGUUUUGGUUCCAGAUGCCAUUCUGGAACGGACAUUAUUAUGUUCCUGCCCUUGUUACCAACUCCCUCAACUUGGCUUAAUCAGAGGUACCAUCCCUGAGCCCACGCGCUGUUUUGCUCGCUGUUUUGUUGAUGGUGUCCUGACUCUAGCAUUUUUUCUAACAGUGCUCCUUUAAUCUGCCAGACCAAGGCUUCGUUCCAACUUCAUUCGCAAGCGCUGCACAACAGGAAAGAUGCAGUGAUAUACUUAGUAUUGGUUACAGGGAUUGCAGGACUUUGACUGAGAAACACUGAUGACAGCUAUAAGACCUGAGUUUUUUCUGUUUCCAGAACAGCUGCUGAGCAAAGAAGUGAUGGACUGUGGAGAUAUGUGGGGACCUCAGCUCUCCUGAGCAAACUUUGCUAGCAAACAGGAACUGACUUCAGAAGAAAAGUUGUCUAGAGUUUCAAGUCAGAAGACGCCAUUUAACAACAGUCACUGCUUCCAGUGAGAGCUCCUCACUGAAGCCAGCUGAAAUUUCAAUCUGUUCUUCAGUGUAUUUUUCCGUAGUUUUAUUUCUCUUCUUUACUUGGACAUAAAUGAUGGGGAAAUUCCUGUCCCAGUGGGCAAAGGAGAAUUUUUGCACUUUCUCUUUUAGCAAAACAGAGUGCUUCAUGCAAAAUACUACUGAAAUUUCUGUAAACGUUUGCUUGCUUAGAAUUAAGUAUGUGCUAAAAACUGUAAGACACCAAUGCAAUAGUUUUCUCCUCCUUGAUUUUCUUGAUUUUCUUUUCAGAUAUUUACUUGUGUCCAUCUUCUCUGCUUUGACUAUUCCCACUUGUAGAUGUGUACAUUUGCUGUUCAUUCUAGGUUUUACUAAUAGGAUGUUUCCAAAGAUGUUGAUCCCUAUAAUGCAAGACAUACAGAAAGUUUAAGGCAUAGCUCCUACUUCAGACAGCAAACAGACCUUAUACCAGAGACCAUCGAGUGGAUAGGCUAGGUGAGGAUGGGAAAAUGAAGUAAUGUGUGGCUUGGCAGGAAAAGUCACAGCUCUUCUGCAGGCAGCAAUGGAGACAGUGAGUAGCUGUGUAGAAAUAGUGCAGAAGGAUCUGCAGAUGCUGCAUUUUGUAUGGUCUGCUUCCACCUCUGGGCAAGGUGCUACAACACUGCUGUGUUCACCAGGCCGUACUGCUCCCACGCGCUGGAGCAUUUAAUAAAUGGCUCUGACUGCAGCUGUCACUGAAGGCAAUCUUUCCACUCCUAUGACCACUAGCUCUCAGUAGACAAUUACUGUACUCAGUGAGUUAAAAAUAAAUACAAUGCAGUCUGAGGACACCUUCUGUUUCACACAAGUAAUAGGUAUUGAAUCGAUGGCAGUCAUGCAGAUGAAUUUUCAAUGCAAACCAGUUCUAACUGGUAUUUAAAGGUCAAUAUUUCUGUGCAAAUAUUUGUUUAAAAGUUUAUGUGUAAUGUCCGGUACUGAACACGUCUUUUUGGCUUUCUGUCAGCUUUGCUGACAAUGCAGAGAGGUGAGAUGGUGUUCAGGCCUCAGCUGGACAGGCACUGUAAUUUCAGCUGCCAGCCCAACUGUGUGAGCAGCAGUCUUUCCUUGUUUCCCAUGCUGGUGCUGGGUGAUGGGCAGCAGGCUGUCAGCUCCUCAUUUGUGCUGAUGAGAGCAAGGAUAAGGGCCAUGUGCAACAGUAGGCUGGCUGUCCAGACUGGUACAACCCAGACGCAGAUACAAAUGUUGCUUGCUUCCCAAGAUGGCUGAAUUGCAUCUUGGUGAAGAAUUCAGGCUGAGGCUGGGUUUUCAGGCUCAUUUUAUCUCCAGGGCCUGUGCUUUCCUUUUUUUUUCAUCUGCUCCUGUGUUUUUGGUUUGCCAUUUGAUGAGCUUUUUUUUUUUACUGGGACUAUCUUCCUUUUUCACAUAGACCUCCACUACAGACUCCCAGCUCAUUUGAGGUUCCAAUAAUAUUUUUGGGUGAUAGCAGGAUGGAGUCCUAAUCUCUGAGCAAACAGUUUCUUUUCAGCUUGUGCACCUGUAGGACCAAACUUUUAGUGGACUGAGGAUUUAUGAAUAUUACUAGAAACUGAGUAUUUCACAGUGAAUGCUAACUCAUCCUCACGAAUCAUCUGCAAUUUUUAUUUUAAUAUGGUGGCCAAGCUGAAGUUUAUUUUCAUUUAAAGUGACAGAAUAUUCACCAAAUAAAAAUUUCCACCUUGUUAUACCUGAGGUCCUUAAAAAGCUUGUUUAUCUAACUUUGAUUUGUUCAAGAUUCAGGUGAAUUAAAAAAGUGAUCUAAAAUGUAAAUGGAUUUUUUUUUAAAGCCAUGAAUACCUGACAGGAAAAAAAAAAAAAGUCUUUCUCAAAGACUAGAUUUGCAUUUGAGCAAAUGAUUUGUUUCACUGAAAUCUUUUCCUUUUUUAGCAAAAAUUUUUCAGUUAGUUCUUUUUGUUUCACUCUGCUCUUCAGCUGGGGCUUAAAAAAACGUUCACAAGCUCCUUCUGGGAACAGCUGCUAAAACCCUGCCUGACAAAUUUGGCUUCUUCAGCUAUAUUCUAGUUUCUAUAUAUUCAGGGAGGAUGAUGUCAUGCUGAAAGCUCUCUCUCAGCAGUGGAAAAAGUUAUGUACAUGUAACCAACCAACCCAAACCUAUGCCUCUGUCCCACAGGAUUUGCAGUCCUCAGGAGAUGAAGACACGGAACAUGAUAGAGGGAGGCCAGAGAAAAUUCCAGUGGCUAAGGCUGUUUGCAGAAAAUGUAGAGACUUGCAGGACACAGCCAGGAUAUCCACACAGGCCUUAUCUCCCUCCUCCUGUAGUCAAAUCCCAGACCUAUGAUUCUGUGAUUCUAUAAACACUGCUUUCGUAUCUAGCAACCAGGAACUGUUGGUGUCAUUAAAAUUUGUGAACCAUUGUGCUUGUUGGCACAGAGUGCUGCAGAACUCUACUGGUAGAACAGGUUUACUUGCCUCUUGACUGCUCUGCGAGGAAGCAGUCCCAGGAGAGUUCUGCUUGUUGAGAUUCUGAGAUGUAAGGGAGAUAAUGCUGUAGGUCAUGCAGAAGCUAUCACCAGCUCUACUGCCACUGCUGGGUCCGGGAAAGGAGCUCCUUUAGGAAAUGAUCUAUGCUCCUGCAGUGCACAUCCCACAGGAGUUUUACAGCCUUGCAGCAAUGUCAGAAGCUAAGCGUUGUCCCCCUAGUGCUGGUAAUGAUGCACACUGCUGCAUCAUUAACACCAUACCAAUGUGUAUUCAAAUAGUCUAAUAGUCUAAUGGGAAGUCUGGAAGUCCCUUGCACCAUGGGAUGAGACAGGGAAUAAGUCAGCUAAGGAUUUUAAGUAUUAGGAUCUUUGUGCAUGUCAGAUUCUCUAAGAAAUUUACUUACUGAUAAUUAACCCAGAUACUAUGUGCUACAGAAUACUGUAAUGUAGAACGCUUCUACAUGGAUUGCAGUCUGUGAUUCAGAAAAGGAACUGAAGAAGAAACAUCCAUUUACCCUCAGAAGUCCAUUCUUAUCUGUGCAUUGUACUCGUGUUCUGCUGAAAGGGUUCCACUAAAUGCAGCUUAGAAACCACUGUCUAUGCAAUGUGAGUUUGUUUACAAAUUUUCCUUGUGGUAGUGAACAUUCAGUUCCUACUAAGAAGAAACUGGUCAAAACUGGACAUCUUUGAUACCCGAGUAUUUAAAAAUUCUCAGAAAAAGAAAAAAAAAUAAAAACAGCAAUUUUU